AACGAACGCUGGCGGCAUGCCUAACACAUGCAAGUCGAACGAGACCUUCGGGUGUAGUGGCGCACGGGUGCGUAACGCGUGGGAACCUUCCCGCAGGUUCGGAAUAACUCCCCGAGAGGGGUGCUAAUAGCGGACAAUGUCUUCUGACCAAAGAUUUAUGGGCUUUGGAUGGGCUCGCGUUGGAUUAGCUAGUUGGUAGGGUAAAAGCCUACCAAGGCGACGAUCCAUAGCUGGUCUGAGAGGAUGAUCAGCCACACUGGGACUGAGACACGGCCCAGACUCCUACGGGAGGGAGCAGUGGGGAAUAUUGGACAAUGGGCGAAAGACUGAUCCAGCAAUGCCGCGUGAGUCAUGAAGGCCUUAGGGUUGUAAAGCUCUUUUACCCGGGAUGAUAAUGACAGUACCGGGAGAAUAAGCUCCGGCUAACUCCGUG
This 433-nucleotide ribosomal RNA is filed under the name uncultured bacterium. RNAcentral's name for it is "partial 16S ribosomal RNA". It matches the Rfam family "Bacterial small subunit ribosomal RNA", at positions 29 to 507 of the family's 1533-position model. The record is from RNAcentral.